RNAcentral lists this ribosomal RNA (822 nucleotides) under Aspergillus phoenicis. RNAcentral describes it as "eukaryotic LSU rRNA". It matches the Rfam family "Eukaryotic large subunit ribosomal RNA", at positions 77 to 914 of the family's 3401-position model. Lineage: Eukaryota; Fungi; Ascomycota; Eurotiomycetes; Eurotiales; Aspergillaceae. The record is from RNAcentral.
GGUCUAGUAACGGCGAGUGAAGCGGCAAGAGCUCAAAUUUGAAAGCUGGCUCCUUCGGAGUCCGCAUUGUAAUUUGCAGAGGAUGCUUUGGGUGCGGCCCCCGUCUAAGUGCCCUGGAACGGGCCGUCAGAGAGGGUGAGAAUCCCGUCUUGGGCGGGGUGUCCGUGCCCGUGUAAAGCUCCUUCGACGAGUCGAGUUGUUUGGGAAUGCAGCUCUAAAUGGGUGGUAAAUUUCAUCUAAAGCUAAAUACUGGCCGGAGACCGAUAGCGCACAAGUAGAGUGAUCGAAAGAUGAAAAGCACUUUGAAAAGAGAGUUAAACAGCACGUGAAAUUGUUGAAAGGGAAGCGCUUGCGACCAGACUCGCCCGCGGGGUUCAGCCGGCAUUCGUGCCGGUGUACUUCCCCGUGGGCGGGCCAGCGUCGGUUUGGGCGGCCGGUCAAAGGCCCCUGGAAUGUAGUGCCCUCCGGGGCACCUUAUAGCCAGGGGUGCAAUGCGGCCAGCCUGGACCGAGGAACGCGCUUCGGCACGGACGCUGGCAUAAUGGUCGUAAACGACCCGUCUUGAAACACGGACCAAGGAGUCUAACAUCUACGCGAGUGUUCGGGUGUCAAACCCGUGCGCGCAGUGAAAGCGAACGGAGGUGGGAGCCCCCUUGCGGGGCGCACCAUCGACCGAUCCUGAUGUCUUCGGAUGGAUUUGAGUAAGAGCGUAGCUGUGGGGACCCGAAAGAUGGUGAACUAUGCCUGAAUAGGGCGAAGCCAGAGGAAACUCUGGUGGAGGCUCGCAGCGGUUCUGACGUGCAAAUCGAUCGUCAACUUUGG